Molecule: ribosomal RNA, 279 nt
Filed under: uncultured bacterium
Lineage: Bacteria
Description: partial 16S ribosomal RNA
Rfam family: Bacterial small subunit ribosomal RNA
Source: RNAcentral
CUUGCUUCUUUGCUGGCGACCGGCGCACGGGUGAGUAACACGUAUCCAACCUACCCUUUACUCGGGGAUAGCCUUUCGAAAGAAAGAUUAAUACCCGAUAGCAUAAUGAUUCCGCAUGGUUUCAUUAUUAAAGGAUUCCGGUAAAGGAUGGGGAUGCGUUCCAUUAGGUUGUUGGUGAGGUAACGGCCCACCAAGCCUUCGAUGGAUAGGGGUUCUGAGAGGAAGGUCCCCCCACAUUGGAACUGAGACACGGUCCAAACUCCUACGGGAGGCAGCAUG